UGGGGAAUAUUGCGCAAUGGGGGAACCCGUGGACGCAGCAACGCCGCGUGAAGGAUGAAGGCUUUCGGGUUGUAAACUUCUUUGAUGAGGGACGAAAGAAAUGACGGUACCUCAAAAACAAGCCACGGCUAACUACGUGCCAGCAGCCGCGGUAAUACGUAGGUGGCGAGCGUUGUCCGGAAUUACUGGGUGUAAAGGGCGUGUAGGCGGGGAUGCAAGUCAGAUGUGAAAUGCCGGGGCUUAACUCCGGAGCUGCAUCUGAAACUGUGUUUCUUGAGUGUCGGAGAGGAAAGCGGAAUUCCCAGUGUAGCGGUGAAAUGCGUAGAUAUUGGGAGGAACACCAGUGGCGAAGGCGGCUUUCUGGACGAUAACUGACGCUGAGGCGCGAAAGCGUGGGGAGCAAACAGGAUUAGAUACCCUGGUAGUCCACGCUGUAAACGAUGGAUACUAGGUGUAGGAGGUAUCGACCCCUUCUGUGCCGGAGUUAACACAAUAAGUAUCCCACCUGGGGAGUACGGCCGCAAGGUUGAAACUCAAAUGAAUUGAC
Molecule: ribosomal RNA, 547 nt
Filed under: uncultured bacterium
Lineage: Bacteria
Description: partial 16S ribosomal RNA
Rfam family: Bacterial small subunit ribosomal RNA
Source: RNAcentral